RNAcentral lists this ribosomal RNA (514 nucleotides) under uncultured Pseudomonadota bacterium. Its description in RNAcentral is "bacterial SSU rRNA". It matches the Rfam family "Bacterial small subunit ribosomal RNA", at positions 355 to 857 of the family's 1533-position model. The record is from RNAcentral. Lineage: Bacteria; Pseudomonadati; Pseudomonadota.
UGGGGAAUUUUGCGCAAUGGGGGAAACCCUGACGCAGCAACGCCGCGUGAGUGAUGAAGGCUUUCGGGUCGUAAAGCUCUGUCAGUAGGGAAGAAGUGUAAUGGUGCUAAUACCACCUUUACUUGACGGUACCUACAAAGGAAGCACCGGCUAACUCCGUGCCAGCAGCCGCGGUAAUACGGAGGGUGCAAGCGUUGUUCGGAUUUAUUGGGCGUAAAGCGCCCGUGUAGGCGGUUUCUUAAGUCUGAUGUGAAAGCCCUGGGCUCAACCCAGGAAGUGCAUUGGAUACUGGGAAACUUGAAUACGGGAGAGGGUAGUGGAAUUCCUAGUGUAGGAGUGAAAUCCGUGGAUAUUAGGAGGAACACCGGUGGCGAAGGCGGCUACCUGGACCGAUAUUGACGCUGAGACGCGAAAGCGUGGGGAGCAAACAGGAUUAGAUACCCUGGUAGUCCACGCCGUAAACGAUGAGAACUAGGUGUUGCGGGUAUUGACCCCUGCAGUGCCGCAGCUAACG